UACGUAGGGUGCGAGCGUUGUCCGGAAUCAUUGGGCGUAAAGAGCGUGUAGGCGGCCACUUAAGUCCUGCGUGAAAUCUUGCGGCUCAACCGCAAGCGGUCGUGGGAAACUGGGUGGCUAGAGUGCGGGAGAGGAGAGUGGAAAUUCCUGGUGUAGCGGUGGAAUGCGCAGAUAUCAGGAAGAACACCCGUGGCGAAGGCGGCUCUCUGGAACGCAACUGGACGCUGAAGACGCGAAAGCGUGGGGAGCAAACAGG
This 256-nucleotide ribosomal RNA is filed under the name uncultured bacterium. RNAcentral's name for it is "partial 16S ribosomal RNA". It matches the Rfam family "Bacterial small subunit ribosomal RNA", at positions 524 to 776 of the family's 1533-position model. The record is from RNAcentral.